Molecule: RNA transcript, 3497 nt
Organism: Lates calcarifer (barramundi perch)
Lineage: Eukaryota; Metazoa; Chordata; Actinopteri; Centropomidae
Gene name: toll-like receptor 5
Exons: 6
Source: RefSeq, a predicted model, not a curated record
GAAGGAGGUGUUUUCUCAAAUGGGAAACUGUGUCAUUCCCCCCGUUUUGUAAGACCGACUGAAGAGCCAUGUCACGAAUGUUCGGAGGUCUUAAAGCACAUAUCGAUCAAUCGCUGUUCGUCAGUUACAGUGUGUGAGUGUGGUGGAGCGGGUCUGCAGGGACGAGGAGGAGGAGGAAGAGGAGAAGAAGCGUGUUACCGCCUCUUCUCACAGGAGAAACACUGAAGGUUUUCCACUGUUUGCACAAGACCAACAACACAGGGCGAGGGCAGCAUGUGGACGCUGGCUCUUCAGUUGGUUUUUACUGGUUUACACAUACAGGUCACAACAUGCUACCCUUCAUGCACUUUAUAUGGCCUUGUAGCUGCUUGCGCCUCACAGCACCACUACUGGGUCCCUGCUCUGCCUUGUAACAUCACCCACCUCUACCUGGAGAGGAACUACAUCAGUGAGAUCAACAGCACCUCACUCAGAGACUAUGACCAGCUGCAACAAUUGGAUCUUGGAAUGCAGAAUGUACAGCUUAUCAUUAGGAACAAUGCUUUCCUCAGGCAGAGAAAACUGACACGGUUGGUUCUAGGUUACAAUAUUGGUCUUCAGCUGGAGCCAAGGGCAUUUGCAGGACUGUUCAAUUUACAACAUUUCUUUUUGGAUAAGUGCAGUUUGAAUGACUCCAUACUAUCGGAAAGCUAUCUGCAGCAUCUUUUCUCCUUAGAGUUGCUUGAUCUCUCUUAUAAUGAACUAGCGAGACUCCGACCUGGACUGUUCUUUUCAAAACUCACAAGGUUCACAAAGUUAAACCUCAAACUGAAUCAGAUUAGAGGUUUAUGUGAAGAAGAUCUUGUUGGUUUCAGAGGGAAAUACUUCACAUAUAUGAACUUGACCUCCAACCUCUUUGGUAGAAUGUAUGAAGGAAAUUUUGACUGGGAAACGUGCGGAAACCCUUUCAGAGGGAUGGCCUUUAAUAUCCUUGACCUAUCCAGCUAUGGCUUCAACAUCAUCACAACAAGAAAUUUUUUCAACGCAAUACAGGGGACUCAGAUCGAUCAUCUUAUAUUCUCUGGACACUUGGGUAAAGGCUUUUCAUAUGACAGAUUACCUGAUCCAGAUGAAACCACAUUUGAAGGCCUCAUGAACAGUAAAAUUAAACAUUUUGAUCUGUCUAACAGCUAUAUAUUUGCUUUACAGAGGGCUGUUUUUAGUUCCCUAAAGGCUGCAAUAAUUAUUGACAUUUCUGGAAACAAAAUCAAUCAAAUUGAAAGAAAUGCCUUCAGUGGUCUUCAGGGACAUUUACGGUUGCUCAACCUAUCGUCCAACCUGCUAGGAGAAAUAGCUUCUCACACAUUCACCAAUCUAACAGACCUUAGGGUGUUGGAUUUGUCUUACAACCAUAUUGGUGUAUUGGGACACAAAGCUUUCAGUGGCCUUCCCAGAUUACGAGCAUUAUAUCUAACAGGAAACUCACUGCGAAUCCUGGGUUCUCCUGCAUCAUUACCAAACUUAGAUUACCUCCUUUUGAAUGACAACAAAUUGACAUCACUGUAUCACAUCACUGACAUGGGUAUGAACAGCCUCCAUGUGGAUGUUAGUGACAACAGAUUAACAAACCUAAAGGAUGUUCAUCUCAUAGUGACUAAUUUCAAGCGUCUCCAGAAUUUUUUCUACAGUGGAAACCACAUGAAGUGGUGCACACUGGAUCAGAAUAUUAGAAUACACUAUAAUAAUAGUUUGCAAGUACUUGAUCUUCAUGACAGUUCUCUUCAAAUAAUCUGGGAACAGGGGAAAUGCUUUGACUUGUUUGAUCAUCUUGAGAAUCUUCUCAGUCUCAGUAUAAACUUUAACUCACUCACCACUCUCCCACAAGGGAUUUUCAGAGGUCUCAGCUCAAUCAUAGAGCUUGACCUCUCACAUAAUUCCCUGACCUAUCUGCAGCCAGGUGUAUUUCCAGUCAGCUUGAAAAAGCUCGACCUGUCAAACAACUACCUAGCCUCCCCAGAUCCUAUGACUUUUCAGUCUCUCAUCUUCCUUGAUCUGGCAGCAAAUCGGUUUCACUGUGAUUGCAGUCUGGAGAAAUUCUUGAAGUGGCUGAAUGAGACAAAUGUAACCUUUCUUAGUCCAACUGAGGAUUUUAUAUGUGAGUUUCCAGCUGCUCUGCAUAACCUUCCUCUGCUGAAUUACACCACGAGUACUGAACCGUGUGAGGAGGAUGAUGAAAAGGCUGUUCAUGGUCUUAAGUUUGCUCUCUUCAUCUUCACUGCUCUCCUCGUCAUUGCUGUCAUCCUCAGUGGGAUUGUUUACGCCCGUUUCCGAGGGCAUGUAUUCAUCAUCUACAAAAAAAUUAUUGGCAGGGUUCUUGAGGGCCCGAAACCGGUGGCUCUUUUGGAAGAGGUGCCAUACGAUGUCUUCCUCUGCUUCAGCAACAGUGACUAUAGGUGGGUGGAAGCUGUUUUGCUGAAUAAGCUUGAUAACCAGUUUUCAGAGGAGAACAUCUUCCACUGUUGUUUUGAGGCCAGAGACUUUCUGCCAGGUGAGGAUCACCUUUCAAACAUCAGAGAAGCAAUCUGGGGCAGCAGGAAGACUGUGUGUAUCAUCUCCAAGGAGUUCCUUAAAGACGGCUGGUGCUUGGAAGCAUUCACUUUGGCACAGUGCCGAAUGCUGGAGGAGCUGACAAACAUCUUGAUUAUAUUGGUGGUAGGGAAGGUGGCUCACUACCAGCUGAUGAAGUACAAUGCAAUCAGAGCUUUCAUUCGGAGGAGAGCAUACCUCAUCUGGCCAGAGGACCCUCAGGACCAGGAGUGGUUUUAUGAGCAACUGAUCUCACAGAUCCUCAAAGACACCAAAGUGAAAAAGUUUCCAGAGGACAAACCUCAGCCUGCACAGCAUAACAUCCAACCUCAAUAUGAGGACAGUGUUCAGCUGGAGAACAUCAGGACAAUUGCCAUGUGAACUCUGACUGUACAUUAAAGAAAUCCUACUUUAACCAGGAUAACCUCCUGAUACUAGCCUCCAUGAUGCCAAGUGUCACUGGGAAGCUUGUACUCAGCAAGGUGAGAAAGAGGUUGUCAUUGUAAGCAUGUAUAGCACUCCAUGUUGAUGAUUAUGUUUUUGGAAUUAGUAGAAAGAAAAUGUUAACUGUGUGUGUCAAGUCUUUAUAAAAUACAGCACUGUUCACACUGAUAGCUUGCAGGAUGAAACAAAUCCCCAGCAAAGCUUUGAAAUUUAGAGAGAAAAAGUUUUUUUUUUUUUUUAAUCACUGCAGGUGAUGAAUAAGUGCAGCUCCAGACAGACCUGAACAUGGAUGUGUUAAAAAGACACUGGCUAAUUUGAUUUGUUAAUAUGUUAAGAGUAGCCAUUGAUGUCCAGUAUAUGAGAUUGUAUGUAAAUUUACAUGAAUAAGCCUUUAAAAAUAGAGACUGUUCUUCAUGGAGUGAUGUCAUUUGAUUUGUGAAUACUUGCCUGACACAAUAAGAUAAUAUAAAACAAAAUUUCUAAAUGGU